GAGUAAUUACACAUUAUAUUAGAGAAGACGGAGAGCAGUGCGUCUGCAGAGAAAGUUUAUGUGCAGUAAGUGGACGGACAUCAAAGAAAUCAGCAAAACAGCAGAAGUUUAGGACAACGAAGGCAUCUGAUGAUCCUGAUUUCCCACAGUCAGCAGACCGAAUAGUGAGACGGCGGGUAAUUCGGACCGCCAGUCUCCCAUAAACUCACUUCCUGGUCCGUCUCUGACGCGAGGUCCAGGUGGAGGAUCCC
Long non-coding RNA from Poecilia latipinna (sailfin molly), 251 nucleotides. RefSeq lists it as uncharacterized. NCBI's taxonomy places the organism in Eukaryota, Metazoa, Chordata, Actinopteri, Cyprinodontiformes, Poeciliidae. The record is from RefSeq and is a predicted model, not a curated record. The transcript has 3 exons.